UCUAGUGAGGUGAGAGAGAUGAAAUAUGAGUGAGGGAAACAGUCACGAUUAAAGCAAGCGAAACAGUGUCGUUUCGAUGAGGGGGAAGACUGGACCAGGUUGGACACAGGUUUGGGCUGGGAUUUGGGUGGUUUUCGACGGGUUUAAGGGUUUGGGCUUGGCAAUUUUAAUUGUUUUUGGCCCAAAUAUAAAAACUUGAUCCCCUUUUGUCAAAAUCUUUUCAUUUUCCCCUUUUUAUUUUCAAAAAUUAAAUAAAAAUCUAAAUUGAACCCUAGGACCUAAUUAAACUAAUUAAACCUAAAUGAUGCUUACCAUACUUAAUAAAAAAACAAAUUGAAAGAAAUACCCCCAAAAUAAAAGUUAUAAUUAAAACGGUGCACAUCAAACUAUAUAUUUUGUGAUUUUCCUUUUUAUAAAUUGACUAAUUAUUUAAUUAAUCCUAAAAUGUUAAAUCGAAUCCUAAAUGAAAAUGCAUAUAAUUUUUAGUAUUUUCCAUUGAUUAAAAUAAAAUAAACAUGCACAAACAAAUGCAAACAAUUAACAGAAAAUACCACAAAAAUUCACAAAAUUGCAAAUAAUGAAAAGAGAUCAUUUUGUUUUGAAUUUAUGGGAGUAAUUGAUAUAGGGAAAAAAUCAUGUGCUCACAACGAGAUCAACCGUCCAGAUCACAUGCCAUUAAAACGAGGUCGUUUGGAUCAUCUAUAGGGGUAGACCGGGCUUUGUUACGAUUUUGGGCCAGGGUUGGCUGGUAUCAGGGUACAAAUCGGUUUGGGCUUGGAGAGUAUUAAAUUUUUGGCCCAAAAUCUAGUUCUUUCAAUCCUUUUUCCUCUUCUUUUAUUUUAAUAACUCUUUUUCCUUUUAAAAUUAAAAAUAAAAAUCUAAAUUAAUUCCUGUAAAAGGAAACUGAAAUACAUACUCACAAAAAAAUCAAAAAUACAUAAGUGCUUCCAAAACUACUCUAGGGGCCCGUAAGACAUCAGUCGGUCUCGCCUUGGUCCUACAUGAGAUAUCUCCUUGGAAACGAUCCAGGUCAUCCAUUAUCCGGCGAACAAAAGUCAUCACUACACCGAAGAAUGCGGAUCUAGUCUUAUCCUUACACUCAUGGCAUUUCAUGACGAUGUAGUUUGCAAUUGCUCUAACCCUUUCCCUAAUGAUGCCUUUCUCUUGGAGCAGAUGCCCAAAUUGUUGAGACCUGGAUUCUAGAACAUGGGUAUCAUGAUGGCUUGCCCUACGAUUGUUGCAUGUCCUCUUACAGUCGUGACAUCAAUGCAUAACAAUGUUCCCUCUUUGCCUUAAAGUUCUUUGUGUGUUUAGCCAUUUCUUUUUUGAGGGUAGCCGGCUUUUUCUUCAGAUUUGUGACUUCUCUAUCUUAUUUCCCUUUUAAUUGCCGAACAAACUCUGCACAUCCUUUUGUGUUCUUCGCCAACUGUGACUGGGCUCUUGAUAGACUACCUUUGAAUUUUCCAAAUCAUUCCCAUACUCACAUACUUUCCACCUAAGAUCGUUUAUAAGUCUUUCAUCUGUUUGGCUUCUUUUCGGAUUCUCAUCAACUAUUCAUUCUUUGAAUCUGGGCUCGGAGGACUUUAUUUUCUUUGGCCAGCUUCUUCUUUUCACCCUCAUCUCCAGCGGCUUGUAAACCAUUAUUAAAUUUAAGAUCCUUGAUUUGCCCUUGAAACUUCAUUAUGGUGGCCUUGUAUUUAUUUUCUUUGGUCAACCAGGCCUAGUGUUCUUGCGAUGCUUCAACAAAUUCUUGGAUUUGAGGACUUUAGGCUGGCCUUUCAUGUUCGAACCUUGCCGUAAACUUCUAUUUAUACCAAGAAAGCUAACCAGGCGAGACCUUGCCUCUAGACACGUCACGUACUCAGGUGUUUGCAGUCAAAUAUUGGCACUCGUUCUAAAUAUGACGAACCACUUCUUCAUGAAAUUGGCCAUAGGAGUGGAUUUCAACUGCAUGGACACUAAGAUCUUCAUCCUUGGGAACUACCUCGAAUCUUCCCGACUGUCUAAAAACCCGAUAUGGGGCAUAAGGUUGGAUGCCUCGAAGUCCCAUUAGGAGGAAGUAAGGACCAGUGGCAGGUAUGUGCACAAUUUCUUCAACAGGAAGGCAACCCAGUGUCCAUUCUAUUUUCCCUUUAGUUACGGAAUGAAAACGGGACAACCAAUGUCCAAACCCUUCUGCCAUUUUGAACCUUGAGAGCCUUGUGCCGAACUCCUCAAUGCAGUUUUUCCCUGUAGAUCUGCAUUCAUAUAUCAAGGACGAUGACACAGAUGCUCAAUCAUCCACAUCAAUAGUGACAAAUUUCACCCUUCAAAAAAAAUCUGCCACGGCUUUGCAAGCCGUGAGAGCUCGGAAUAUCUCAGACACUAUCAUAAGGGCAAGGGUGCUCUUGCCAUUGGUAAUCAAAACAUUGAUGACUCCAGCUACAUGUAGAUCAAUCUUACCAUCUUUCCUAGGAAACACUAGAAGACCUAAGAAUUCCACCAUAAAAGCGAAGCGUCUAUGCUCUCCCAACUUUGACCGGUUCCCUUUGCUACAGUUUCCACUUUCAGGGUUGUCCAAUCCUCUUACAUGUCCAUUAAGCCGAUAUAUGAAGUGUAGAUUGGUAAACCUCUUGCCAAAUCUGUAUAUUGAACUUGCCUGAUUAUUAUUAGCAAAUCCAGAAACUUGUGAGAGGUCACAACCUUGGAGUGAUCAGGUAUUUAUGUCUUAGACCCUCGGUACUCCUAGUGUAACCUGCUACCUCCUCUAAAGUAGGUAUGAGUUUGAAGUCCGAGAAAUGAAUAAUGAUAUAAGUUAGUUCCCAAAAAGUCGCCAGUGCUUUUAUUAUGUCCCCCCUAGGCCCAAUCUUUAGUAAUCCAGUGAGCGCCCCAAGUAAAGGUUGACCAGGUCUCGUCCUUGCUUACCCAAAUCUUCCCACCACAUGUGUAGUUCCAACGGAAUCUUGGUCAUAACUUUUAUUAGUAAAUCUUGACUCGUGCUUAUUUUUCUCAUUUAGAGUAAGAUGAUUGGUUUAAAACAAAGUGAAUUUCAUUAAAGCUGAUAAAAAUGGGUCAUGCUAAAGAAAAACUCAAAAUUCAAAUACACAACGACCACUUUUGCAAAUACGGCCCUUCAACACUUAAAAAGGCAAAGAUUUUAGGGAUGAUUUUGCUACGCGGACGAACAUU
This 3168-nucleotide long non-coding RNA is filed under the name Nicotiana benthamiana. Its description in RNAcentral is "long non-coding RNA (NBEN_LNC037610)". Lineage: Eukaryota; Viridiplantae; Streptophyta; Magnoliopsida; Solanales; Solanaceae. The record is from RNAcentral.